RNAcentral lists this long non-coding RNA (431 nucleotides) under Mytilus galloprovincialis (Mediterranean mussel). The record is from RNAcentral. Lineage: Eukaryota; Metazoa; Mollusca; Bivalvia; Mytilida; Mytilidae.
AUAGAUCUGUAAAUACACAUAGCCUUAGUACAAUAAAAUAGUUUGUCACUUUGACACAAGGUGUGAAAACAGUAAAGUUUAAAAGUUGUUAAUCCUUUUAUGACAAGGGUCAUCUCAUUUAUUAAGUAAUAAUGACUUGAAACACCUAUAUCUGUCUGGACACAAUAACCAAAGAUUUAAAAAGACCAGACAAACUCAGACCAUAUUGUCCUUAUCCCAGCAUGCAUUGUUCCAUGUCAAAGAAUUCUGGGAUAGCAUAAGGGUGAUAAUUAGCCCCAGACAGCUAUAAACUUUUGACUUUGACAUUACCCUGUCUGGUUUUAAGUGUUUAAACAAAUGAGAAAAAAAUAAUACCCUGUUUGUGAUUGAAUAACUAUUUCUUCAAAUAGUACAAUAAGCUCAUAUUAAAUGGGAACAAAAUUACUUCAGCA